This 380-nucleotide long non-coding RNA is filed under the name Manihot esculenta (cassava). RNAcentral's name for it is "long non-coding RNA (MESC_LNC009960)". The record is from RNAcentral. Lineage: Eukaryota; Viridiplantae; Streptophyta; Magnoliopsida; Malpighiales; Euphorbiaceae.
UCACUUACAUCAUCGGUAAUCUUGGCAGGAGAAAAGUAAAUUAGUAUGUGUAAAUUUUUUGCACCAGGCAUCACAGAUAUACAAGUGUCUUUCUGUAAUAGAGUUCUGUCAUCUUUUUCCUCUUUCCUGAAAUGAAGGAUAUAUGUAAGAAAGUAUUUGUGCUUGUAUUAUCAUAUUUUCUCCUUCUGGAGGCUCGAUAAUAAUGCAUACAUAUAAAUGAAAUAAAUGCUCUAUUGCAUGCUAGGUUAAAGAGGCAAGAAUCCAUCUUACCAUAUGCAGCAGCCUAAAAUUCAAUUUUUGUGAAUAGAACUUCUCAAGCCCAUCAUGAGGCGGCUCUCGUAUCUUUGUAGCUGAUCUGCAUAAUUUUUCCUGGAAUUUCU